RNAcentral lists this long non-coding RNA (274 nucleotides) under Linum usitatissimum (flax). RNAcentral describes it as "long non-coding RNA (LUSI_LNC000753)". Lineage: Eukaryota; Viridiplantae; Streptophyta; Magnoliopsida; Malpighiales; Linaceae. The record is from RNAcentral.
CAAACAAACAAACCCCAAUUCUCCUCUUUCAACAGCAAUCAGAAUCCUAAGGAGAGACUUUAACCAAGCGAUAACCAGAGAGAAUCAACCCCAGCAAGCCAGCCAGCCUCCCUUAAUUAAAUCCCCCCCACCCAAAAAGAUUUGUUCUUUCUCUUUCUCUCACUCUGUUGUUCCUCCCUCCCACACUCUCUUUUGCAAAAACGUCAUUUAGCCAAAAAGGAAGGAAGGGGGCGGGAAAUGGAUGUCUGGUCUCCUUCUGUCGCCAUGGAUGACG